RNAcentral lists this ribosomal RNA (981 nucleotides) under Triticum aestivum (bread wheat). RNAcentral's name for it is "partial small subunit ribosomal RNA". Lineage: Eukaryota; Viridiplantae; Streptophyta; Magnoliopsida; Poales; Poaceae. The record is from RNAcentral.
AUGAUGUCGGAGGCCUUGUGUGCCGUGGCCGUGGCCGUACGAUCAUACCAUGAGUCCAUGACGACAGGUCACACGUACACGAGAUAUUUGCACGUACUGUGUACAAGGGAAAACAUGUCACACUUCGAGCUUCUAACACGUGGCAAUGGCAAAAAAAAAAAGGAGAUGAAGCACACACAAGGCAUGUAUAUUUCCCGGCGGCUAUGGCGGCGCCGUUUGGUUGGCCAUGGCGCCGACGAUGCAAAGCGCGUUGGCCGUGAGGUGCAGGAGGCCCGCGACGUGGCCGCGCACGGCCUCCCUGACGCCGCCGCCGCCGGCGGCCUCUCCCCGGAACCCUUCCAUGCACAUGUCGCCGUCGGUGAGGGCCGCGCUGGCCCACGUCCGCACGCUGUCCACCUGGAACCUCACCGUCCUCUCCUGCGGGUGGCCCUGCUCCGCCUCCGCCCCGACCUGCGCCAUGGCCUCCACCGACUGCCUCAGCAUGCCGACGGCGUCCCCGAGCAUGCUCACGCAGUCCCCCGCCGCCUCCGCCGCCACGGUCGGCAGGCGCCUGGCCGCCGCCAUGCCCCUCAUGGCCGCCGUCGCGUUCCUCGCGCCGGCGAGCGUCACGUUCAGCGCGGCGCACGCCAGCCGCGCCGGGCUGUCCCCCACCGCGGCCGCGUACGGCGAGAGCGUCGCGUCGCACAGCGCCGGGUACUCCGUCCCCGCGCACCACGCCUUGACGAAGCUCGCGUUGUUGCCGCCGCCCACGCCCGCGGCGGCCGACGGCGCCGCCGGCCGCGCCGCGGCGGCGAGGCCGCACCAGCACGAGAGGAGCAGCCACAGGCAGCCAACGGUGCGCGCCAUGGCUCCGGAACGAGCGCACGUACGUGGCUAAAUGUGGCAACGUGUCGAACUGUGUGGCGCGGUGUGUACGAGUUUUUUCGUGGAGCGCGCGGGGUUGUGGGGUUAUAUAGUGCGGGCGCGCGGCCGAGGGGAUAA